Molecule: ribosomal RNA, 465 nt
Filed under: uncultured bacterium
Lineage: Bacteria
Description: partial 16S ribosomal RNA
Rfam family: Bacterial small subunit ribosomal RNA
Source: RNAcentral
GACGAACGCUGGCGGCGUGCUUAACACAUGCAAGUCGAACGGAAAGGCCCUGCUUGCAGGGUACUCGAGUGGCGAACGGGUGAGUAACACGUGGGUGAUCUGCCCUGCACUUCGGGAUAAGCCUGGGAAACUGGGUCUAAUACCGGAUAGGAGCCAUUUUUAGUGUGAUGGUUGGAAAGUUUUUUCGGUGUAGGAUGAGCUCGCGGCCUAUCAGCUUGUUGGUGGGGUAAUGGCCUACCAGGGCGGCGACGGGUAGCCGGCCUGAGGGGGUGGACGGCCACAUUGGGACUGAGAGAAGGCCCAGACGCCGACGGGAGGCAGCAGUGGGGAAGAUUGCUCAAGGGGCGCAAGCCUGAUGCAGCGACGCCGCGUGGGGGAUGACGGCCUUCGGGUUGUAAAAUCCUUUCGCUAGGGACGAAGCUUUUUGUGACGGUACCUAGAUAAGAAGCACCGGCUAACUACGUG